AGAGUUAAACAGUACGUGAAAUUGUUGAAAGGGAAACGAUUGAAGCUAGUCGUACUUGCGGGAAAUCAACUUCUCGAGUGCUUGUCGUGGAUGACGUUGAGCUUCACGGCCUUCGUUGCUUGCGUUAUGGUGCUUUUGAGGUGUACUUUUCCGUAUGGUAGGUCAACAUCGAUUUUGGUCGUCAUAAAAUGAUCGGAGGAAUGUGGCUCUGAUCUCGUAUCGGAGUGUUAUAGCCUUUGGUAGAUGUGACGAUUGGGAUCGAGGAUUGCAACGAAUACCCUUUGGGCUAUCCGUCUGACCUCUGAAAGUCGUUAGGGUGUUGAAAGCGUGCUUAUGACAUUCUAGUUGGCGGUCAAUAGGUUAGAACGUGAUUACAUUCGUUAAGGAUGUUGACGUAAUGGCUUUAAACGACC
RNAcentral lists this ribosomal RNA (413 nucleotides) under Nanoglomus plukenetiae. Its description in RNAcentral is "partial large subunit ribosomal RNA". Lineage: Eukaryota; Fungi; Glomeromycota; Glomeromycetes; Glomerales; Glomeraceae. The record is from RNAcentral.